This 21-nucleotide unclassified non-coding RNA is filed under the name Mus musculus (house mouse). Its description in RNAcentral is "oocyte_clustered_small_RNA13695". The record is from RNAcentral. Lineage: Eukaryota; Metazoa; Chordata; Mammalia; Rodentia; Muridae.
UGCCCUGUACAGAACACACCA